RNAcentral lists this ribosomal RNA (434 nucleotides) under uncultured bacterium. Its description in RNAcentral is "bacterial SSU rRNA". It matches the Rfam family "Bacterial small subunit ribosomal RNA", at positions 958 to 1392 of the family's 1533-position model. The record is from RNAcentral.
AACGCGAAGAACCUUACCAGGUCUUGACAUCCACAGAAUUUGUUAGAAAUAAGGAAGUGACCUUCGGGAGCUGUGAGACAGGUGGUGCAUGGUUGUCGUCAGCUCGUGUCGUGAGAUGUUGGGUUAAGUCCCGCAACGAGCGCAACCCUUGUUAAUUGUUGCCAGCGUAGAGACGGGAACUCUAUUAAGACUGCCGUGGAUAACACGGAGGAAGGUGGGGAUGACGUCAAAUCAUCAUGCCCUUUAUGCCCUGGGCUACACACGUGCUACAAUGGCCUGAACAAAGGGAAGCGAAGGAGCGAUCCGGAGCAAAUCCCAUAAAACCGGUCCCAGUUCAGAUUGCAGGCUGCAACCCGCCUGCAUGAAGGAGGAGUUGCUAGUAAUCGCGGAUCAGCAUGCCGCGGUGAAUACGUUCCCGGGUCUUGUACACACCG